Molecule: ribosomal RNA, 649 nt
Filed under: Yamadazyma scolyti
Lineage: Eukaryota; Fungi; Ascomycota; Pichiomycetes; Serinales; Debaryomycetaceae
Description: SSU rRNA
Rfam family: Eukaryotic small subunit ribosomal RNA
Source: RNAcentral
GAAGGCAUUUGCCAACAACGUUUUCAUUAAUCAAGAACGAAAGUUAGGGGAUCGAAGAUGAUCAGAUACCGUCGUAGUCUUAACCAUAAACUAUGCCGACUAGGGAUCGGGUGUUGUCCUUUUUUUGGCGCACUCGGCACCUUACGAGAAAUCAAAGUUUUUGGGUUCUGGGGGGAGUAUGGUCGCAAGGCUGAAACUUAAAGGAAUUGACGGAAGGGCACCACCAGGAGUGGAGCCUGCGGCUUAAUUUGACUCAACACGGGGAAACUCACCAGGUCCAGACACAAUAAGGAUUGACAGAUUGAGAGCUCUUUCUUGAUUUUGUGGGUGGUGGUGCAUGGCCGUUCUUAGUUGGUGGAGUGAUUUGUCUGCUUAAUUGCGAUAACGAACGAGACCUUAACCUACUAAAUAGUGCUGCUAGCUUUUGCUGGUAUAGUCACUUCUUAGAGGGACUACCGAUUUCAAGUCGGUGGAAGUUUGAGGCAAUAACAGGUCUGUGAUGCCCUUAGACGUUCUGGGCCGCACGCGCGCUACACUGACGGAGCCAGCGAGUAUUAACCUUGGCCGAGAGGUCUGGGAAAUCUUGUGAAACUCCGUCGUGCUGGGGAUAGAGCAUUGUAAUUAUUGCUCUUCAACGAGGAAUUCCUAG